Molecule: ribosomal RNA, 484 nt
Filed under: uncultured bacterium
Lineage: Bacteria
Description: partial 16S ribosomal RNA
Rfam family: Bacterial small subunit ribosomal RNA
Source: RNAcentral
AUUGAACGCUGGCGGCAGGCCUAACACAUGCAAGUCGAGCGGAUGAAGGGAGCUUGCUCCUGGAUUCAGCGGCGGACGGGUGAGUAAUGCCUAGGAAUCUGCCUGGUAGUGGGGGAUAACGUCCGGAAACGGGCGCUAAUACCGCAUACGUCCUGAGGGAGAAAGUGGGGGAUCUUCGGACCUCACGCUAUCAGAUGAGCCUAGGUCGGAUUAGCUAGUUGGUGGGGUAAAGGCCUACCAAGGCGACGAUCCGUAACUGGUCUGAGAGGAUGACCAGUCACACUGGAACUGAGAUACGGUCCAGACUCCUACGGGAGGCAGCAGUGGGGAAUAUUGGACAAAGGGCGAAAGCCUGAUCCAGCCAUGCCGCGUGUGUGAAGAAGGUCUUCGGAUUGUAAAGCACUUUAAGUUGGGAGGAAGGGCAGUAAGUUAAUACCUUGCUGUUUUGACGUUACCAACAGAAUAAGCACCGGCUAACUUCGUG